GUGGAUGUAUCUCAGUGGAAGAGUACUUCUCUAGCAUGGGUGAGGUCCUGGGUUCAAUCCCUAGCACCACA
This is a non-coding RNA of Heterocephalus glaber (naked mole-rat), 71 nucleotides long. The record is from Rfam. NCBI's taxonomy places the organism in Eukaryota, Metazoa, Chordata, Mammalia, Rodentia, Bathyergidae.